RNAcentral lists this long non-coding RNA (693 nucleotides) under Capsicum annuum. Its description in RNAcentral is "long non-coding RNA (CANN_LNC020932)". The record is from RNAcentral. Lineage: Eukaryota; Viridiplantae; Streptophyta; Magnoliopsida; Solanales; Solanaceae.
AUAUGAUCAACUACAAGGGCGAAACCAAUACCAAACAAGGUGAGGAGGAAGUCAACAGUAGAAACUAUAACGAACCUCACCCCAUGAAAGACACUCAUCCCAUUGAUCCAGGGGAUGCACAUGAUAACUACCUCAUGUUAAUUAGUGGCACCAAUGUAGAAGAAGACCAAAACAACGGAGUUAUAUUUACCGAAACCCCUGAUCACAUAAUAGACUCAUCAUCCCAAGAUGAAGGAGAGGAAGGAACUUCGGAGGAUGGCGACUAUGAAGAUGAGAUGAGCACUGAAGGAUCUGAUGAUUUCGAGAGUUUGGAUAGUGAGAGCCCGUAAAAGGAUAAUCACCAGAACAAACCAGACACUAAUAUAGCCCAUACCACCGAUGAACAAGCCACUCAACUGGUUGAAGCUCUUACUUUUAGACCUCAAAAUCUUGUGGACGUCAAUGUCUAUGAUGAUUUUGACAAUAUGAUAGACAAAACUCAUUUAUCCCCAAGGGGAAAAGAAAGAGGAAGGGGAAGAAACAACACAAGGGGUAGAUAUAACACACGGGGAAGAGGUGGAAGAACCACUAACCAACUAGCUGUGGGACAACCACAGGAUCAAAUAAACUCCGAUUAACUUAUGAUGUUUAAGUCCUUAUAUUGAAAUAUUAGAAGCAUCACCUCCAGUGGUGCUUUUGAUAGACUCAAGCAGA